Molecule: non-coding RNA, 112 nt
Organism: Danio rerio (zebrafish)
Lineage: Eukaryota; Metazoa; Chordata; Actinopteri; Cypriniformes; Danionidae
Source: RefSeq, a predicted model, not a curated record
UUGAGAACGUGCACAAAGCUUUGCCCAAUGUGGACACACAGGGUUACAGCUCAACCUCUAAAAUCCCAUAUCUGGCUGAGGAGACUGUGGAUCAUCCAGAACAUCACCAGUG